CUAGGGGCCAGGCAUCAGGGACCCAGUAUUUGAAGUGAAUUUCUUACUAUCCUUUCUCUUACUUUGCUCCUGGAGGCAGGAUCAAAACUACAGUGAGCACUAAAAACUCCCUAUCCCGUAAGUCUGUUCCUUGUUAAAGGGCAUCAAUCAAGACAGUCCCUUUGGUUAUUCUAAGAACUGCCAAAGCUUCCAGAAUACGCCAGCCAGCCAGUGAGGACACAAUCAGCCAUGCUCACUACCAUCAUACACAGAGACCUCCUCCCCUGAAACCUGUGACCACUGCCCUGGUCAGGUUGCUGGGGCAAGGCUGGGAUUGGCCAUGGCCCUUUUGUAAGGUGCUUCAUCCUUUCCUGCCUCCUAUGAUCCCAAGGCUAGAAAUAACUCUGAAGUUUCUCUGUUUCUCUAUUCAGCCUUCCAGAAGGCCAUGGACGAGGCCAGUGCUGUGACUUGAUCAGAGGAAGACGCCCGGGCUGGGCAGGCAUUACUGUGGAUGAAGGUUCAUCCAAUGAGCGCAUCAGAUGUUUUCACAUUGACCAAUGGGGCUUCGAGUGACCUGUUUGGCGAAGCUGUCCCCGCCUUCCGCGUCUCUGAGAGACGAAGCCAAGGCCAAGUAGAACAGCAGGGGCGUUCCAGGCCGUUCCUUCAGCGCCGUGAGGUUCUUGUGAGGUUAUCUGGAAGCCAGGUGGAAUUUGGGUCCCUUAAAGAGAAGAGGAGGGCUCCCCGGAUUCCUGGGUCCUGAGGAAAGGGGGUGUAGGACUUCUGGGUCUGAGAGGGGAGGAGGCCGGGGGCCCAGAAUCCUGGGUCCUGCGGGAAAUGGCGGCUGGAACGCAAAGCCCUGGAUCCCUCGGUAGAACAGGACUGGGAUCUGAGGAUUCCGAGUUCUGCGGGGUCCAGGGCCUGGCGGGCCGAGAAUCCCGGGGCGUGGGAGAGCAAAGGCUUGAACCCGGCCUCCUGAGUCUGAGGCCGAAGGGGCGUCUGGGCCGCACCCGGACCCCAAGGUUGGAGGGUCCCGGUCGUUGAACUCCUCUGUCUUUGGGGAAUAGGGGUUUGGGUCGGAGGGUUGCAGCUGUGGAAACUGAGGCACAGCGAACGUGUUAAUGUGCUCACACUCGCAGGCUAGCCAGAGCCACCGCGACUGGGGAGGUCGCAGUCUUCUGUGGCGCCGGCUGCGCCCCGCCGUGGCAGUACUUGCCAGAAGGUCGAUGCAGCCUCGUCGUGUGAGGCCGAAC
This 1229-nucleotide long non-coding RNA is filed under the name Ursus maritimus (polar bear). RNAcentral's name for it is "lncRNA (ENSUMAG00000022915.1)". The record is from RNAcentral. Lineage: Eukaryota; Metazoa; Chordata; Mammalia; Carnivora; Ursidae.